This 306-nucleotide ribosomal RNA is filed under the name Staphylococcus epidermidis. RNAcentral describes it as "partial 23S ribosomal RNA". It matches the Rfam family "Bacterial large subunit ribosomal RNA", at positions 1 to 306 of the family's 2925-position model. The record is from RNAcentral. Lineage: Bacteria; Bacillati; Bacillota; Bacilli; Caryophanales; Staphylococcaceae.
GAUUAAGUUAUUAAGGGCGCACGGUGGAUGCCUUGGCACUAGAAGCCGAUGAAGGACGUUACUAACGACGAUAUGCUUUGGGUAGCUGUAAGUAAGCGUUGAUCCAGAGAUUUCCGAAUGGGGGAACCCAGCAUGAGUUAUGUCAUGUUAUCGACAUGUGAAUUUAUAGCAUGUCAGAAGGCAGACCCGGAGAACUGAAACAUCUUAGUACCCGGAGGAAGAGAAAGAAAAAUCGAUUCCCUGAGUAGCGGCGAGCGAAACGGGAAGAGCCCAAACCAACAAGCUUGCUUGUUGGGGUUGAAGCUU